This is a long non-coding RNA of Chinchilla lanigera (long-tailed chinchilla), 3208 nucleotides long. Lineage: Eukaryota; Metazoa; Chordata; Mammalia; Rodentia; Chinchillidae. The record is from Ensembl.
AUGACAAAUUUAAGCUGUGUUAGGCAGAGUUCAGGGAAGAGAGGCAGGGACAUGCACAGGGAAGACUCAAUCUCAGAUGGAGAGCCGGGAAAGACCUCGUGGGAAGGCAGUGUCGUCCAGGAUCUACCGAGGCGCCUUCCAGGCCACCGGAAAGGACAGGUGCUCCCGGGAGGUACUGAGGUGUCCAGGAACAGCCCCAAGGACUACACAAGCCAGCGAUGGGCCUCGCCGCGCACCCAUCCACAGCCCUCUGAACCCGAGGUCCCAGAUCCCUGCAGAGAUCUCACCUGGAGCGUGCAGGCGCACAGGGCGCACUGGUCCUCGGCACCCUCGACUGUCUCCUGCUUGCUGUCGUUCCAGGCCUGGGGCCCCGCCUUUUUUGCGACCUCCGUUGUGCUGCUGCACCCGACGAGCAGGGUUGACGGUGAACCCCACGUACACGCGCCCCCGAUGCCGAGGGUUCAGGCAAUAGAGCAGGUAGACGCCGAAGAACCGCCCCGGCCUCGCCGCGCACCCCGCGGGGCCCAUCCAGACUUUAUAGGUUACGGGCCCAGAGCUGGAAUUGAUCUCCGUGAACUCGGAUCCCAGGAAUGACUAAGUUGCUAGGGCAGCAAGAUGCUUGUUUCGGGAAAAUUGAUCGCGGGGGGCAGUCUACAAAACCUCAAUAACGCCAAGUUCGUACAUUCUCACCCGGAGGGAGGCAGGUCCCAAACCUGGCCGCCAAACCCCUGCCACAUGCAGACUAUGAGCCCCAACCAAUUAGGAUACGCUCUCUCAGAGUCCGUCCUCCCGCUGACUCUGAUUGGCUAAUACUGCUAAACCGGCUUUUGAGAGAACUUGUACUGGAAUGAGGGCGGAAGUGCAGCAUCUCGGACACCCUCGUAAGGGCGGAAGUAAAUGCCCUAGCGGAAGUGGUCUGGUGGAAAGUCUCGUGGCUGUUCUGGAGUUUGUCUUCACUGCGCUGCUGUUCCCUCUGGGCUGGUGUGCUGAAACUCAGUUUGUCCUAAAACGACUCUCAAAAAUAUGCAGGGCGUGUGGCGCGCAACUAUAUUCCUAACAUUUGGGAGGCUAAGGAAGGAUCGCUGCAAGUUUGAGGCCAGCAUGGGUUACAUAGUGAGUUCCAGGGCAACCUGAACUACAUAGCGAAACCCUGUCUCAAAAAGCAAAAACAAAAAGUAGUGUGGUGAAGAACAGAUAAAGAUUUGGAAGAUCUGCCUUGGAGCUGACAGAUUUAGGGCUUUAUGAAAAAGCAAAGACGGGCUGGGGGCUUGCACAGAUAGAUGGGGGUUUGCAGAGCUGAAAGAGGAAACCCUGGUCAAGUCGUGUACUUAGUGAUCAGUAUAUCAGGACCGGCUCUGGGAGGUUCGGAGACAGCCAUCAUCACAUAGUGAAACGGUGACUCUCCCUUGAGGUAGGCAGCUGAGUUCCUAACGUGGUGAUUCAUGGGGUGAUCUGAAAUGCUCUGUUUUUCUUUGGCUUAGGACAGUGACUGAAGACUCCUAGGCAUUGCUCCGAGGAGUCUGGGACUGAGCCUUGUAAAUCUGGCAAUUGGACGUCCCUGCAAAUCCUAAAAGGAGUCCUCUUCUCCUUGUCCUCCUUCUCCCUCCUUCUUCAUUCUUUCUUUGUCUUCUUCAUCAUUGUUGUGGUCAUCAUCUCUGUCUCCUUUUCCUUUUUUUUUUUUUUUUUUUUUUGAGACAGUCUCAGUUGCUAAGUUUCUGAGGUUGGGCUCAAAUCUGUGGUCCUCCUGCCCCAGCUUCCCCAAGUGUUUGGAUUACAGGCUUCUGCUACUAUCAGGCAGUACAGCAGUUUGCUCUUAUGUCGGAGUUCUUAGUCUUAAAGGAAGAUAGGAUAGGUAAGUUUAGGGCUAAUAAAGUUUAUAUUACAGGGACUCCUUAAAUGGUUGACAUACCUUUGUAUAGAGCUGAGCAGGGAUCUGACCCAAAAUUUGAAGGUAAUGAGGAAGACAUACAAAUGAAGGCAGAGAUGCCAGGUUUCAUCCUGCUGUUACCCAAUGGGCAUCUACAAGCUCAAUGUCUAGAUCCCUGUUACAAAUGAAUAAAGGUGUACAGCAUUAUAGCAGUGAGGCAGGAGAUUAGAGUGUGGCAGCUGGCUAGGCAAGUGAGUGUAAUCUGUCAAUCACGGAGAUCCAGGCGGGGAUUGCACCUCUGGAACCAAUCAGAAAGUGAUAUCUUCAAAUCUUCUAGAGAACUCAAGCAGGUUUUUGAUAGGAUGGCCUACACCGACCCUCAGCCUGAGGAGUGGGAGAUACCAGAGAUGGUCACCAGGAGGCUCCUGGCCACUGUGUUCUCUCCUUCACAGUGAUCCACUCAUACCAGAGCGUAUUUCUUUUCCUACCUUUAAUAAAUGUAAAACCUCACUAUAUUUUGCACUUGGUUUUCUGUUUUGUUUUGUUUUUUGAGAUAAGGUCUCACCGUGUAGUUCAGGCUGGCCUUAAACUCACUGGAUAACGCAGGCUGGCCUUGAACGUGCUGCAAUCCUCCUGCCUGAGCUUCUUGAGUGCUGGGAUUAUUGGGGUACACCACCACACCUGGCUUCGUUACCGUUUUAAAUCACCACUGGAUAUUUUUUUACUAUGCUAAUGAAGUAAGGUAAAAAGAGGUUAUCUUAGGGACUAUUCUGCACAUGUGUUUGUCCAUGUCGCUUAGAAUUACCCCUUAUUAGAAAAUUUCCUAAUUUCCCCUGGAACAGGACCCUCUGUAGCCCUCAGCUGCCAGCGGAGGGGGAGGCUGCAGCCCGCCAUCUUCUCGGCACAGUGGGCAUCAAAGCGCUCGCUCUGGGCCGCCGUGAAGGUGCUUUUCCAGUUCCCCACGAUGCCUGGGACAGAAGGAAAGAGGCUUGAGUCCAGGCCACACAGGAGGCCCUGGUGGCUCUUCCUCCCUCCGCUCCCCACGCCCCCCUUGGCCAGGCACCCACCUUUCCUCAUGAAGGGGGAGACUGCGUGGUCCAUGACCUCAGGGAGGAGGGUGGUGUAGUUGGUCAUGGGGUUCUUCUUCAUCUCCUUGAAGGAUGUGCGCUGGACGAUGAGCUCUUUGGUCUCCUCAGGCAGGGAGCGCCCCACGAACUCCAGGAUCUUCUGAAGCUCCCUUUUGGGGUCCUGGAGAAGGCUUACAGUUCUGGGUAUACCAUCUUCAGUGGGGUUUGGGCUGUUCAUAGGGCCAGCAGAAGAGUGUCCCUGUGUGACUUCACA